GAUGAAGAACGCAGUGAAAUGCGAUAAGUAAUGCGAAUUGCAGAAUUCAGUGAGUCAUCGAAUCUUUGAACGCACAUUGCGCCCUGUGGUAUUCCGCAGGGCAUGCCUGUUCGAGCGUCACUACACACCUUAUCACAAUAUUUGUGGUCUUGGCAGGAGUGAAUUGCUGGUCUAUGGAAGUAUUCCAGCAGUACACAAUGCUAAAAAAUAUGGGAAGGUUACCAGAUAUGAACAACAGACUUUGUAAAUGGUUGUAGGACCUAGAUCAGUCACAAGUCAUGUCUGGUCCCUUACCUUAAGGACCCCCAUCCUAGAUGAACUAUGGGUUGACCUCGGAUCAGGUAGGAAUACCCGCUGAACUUAAGCAUAUCAAUAAGCGGAGGA
Molecule: unclassified non-coding RNA, 384 nt
Filed under: soil metagenome
Description: partial contains 5.8S ribosomal RNA, internal transcribed spacer 2, and large subunit ribosomal RNA
Rfam family: 5.8S ribosomal RNA (bases 1-120)
Source: RNAcentral